GCUUACGUUGAGUGACAGGUAGGAGUCCACCUCCGCCAUGUUGGUGAAACUCUGGGCAUAGCGCGACACGUCUCCCAGAGAGGCUGGAGGGGGAGGGGAAAAUGUCAGAUUAUACAACGGUUGAAUUAUAUCACUUAAUUGCAGUGUGUGGACUAGGCCUACUAGGUUGCAUAGUCCGACUUUAUUGUAACUUUGGGAGAUUUGAUGAGCACAAUCAAAUACUAAUUUAUUUAUUAAUCCAAUCUAAUUGUAACUAAAGAUGAGAAAAAUCAUGAGACCUAAUUUGAAAAUCUGUAAACUGAACACUUUUGUUGGAUAAUUGUCAUAGUAGACGUAUGGAAGUCAAGCAAGCAGGAAGGCAGUAAACUGUUACAGGUCUACGACAACACAACGAGUUACCAACCCUGCCUUGCCCGCAUCCGACGAAGCCAAAUUUUCCUGGAGUUCCCGCAAUUUGUCAUCGGAGCGAGCGGCCAAAACAAGCACCGACCUCGGUUUAAGUAACAGAGAAAUCUCUUUCGCUAUGGUUCGGCCAAAUCCUUUGGACGCCCCGGUGAUGAUGCACAGCGCUCUCCCUAGGUCCUUCGCGUCUGGUAUAAUUACGUUGCAGAUACCAUUGGCCUGCAUUUUGGUGAAAUGGGAGCGGAGAUGUACAGCUUCUACUUAUAAAGGCUGGCAGAGUUUUGUAAAGAACCGUUUUAAAAUAAUUGUUCAAAUCGAUUAGAUUGAGGAACGGAUAUGGAUGCCAAAAAUAAACAUGACGAAUGAGCACUCCUUUUAUCCCGCCCACUUUAUGAUGUUCAAGCAAAUUCGCGAUUUAGUUUGUAAAAUGAAUAAGCAAAUGUUUUAUUAUAUGCCUAGAUGUGGGCUGUGCUGGCCAAAAUGUGUUCUUAUCAAUGAUGUAUCUUAUUGUAGCGAUAUCCGCGUUUAUAAACUGGGGUCGCUACAUAAUUUAAGCAAAUUAAAAAUGAAAAUAUAAGAUAAGACAACCGAGGUAAAGCCAGUUUCAAGCUGGAUAUUCGCGCUUUCAAACCUCAGUAGCCACUUGAGCCAUAGACUCCAAAUAAGUGUCAUAAUGUUGGAAAAAUUGCCCAUAACAUUGCACAGGUCUUAUUUUCACGAUUUGGACAUUAAUUCGCUUUUCAAAGCUAAUAAACAUGUGGAAAUGUGAUCAGCAUUUUGUAGUCCUAGUUGAAUUCGUUAGGGAGCGUAAACAAAGUACAAACUUUUUUUACAUUCAAAUUUCAAUAGUUCCUUGGUCAUGUGACCUAGUGACUUCAAACAAGGUUCAGAAUGUCCACUGACUACCCUUCUAUAUUGCACACCCUUUCGUUUGUUCAUUUUUAUCUCACAUGGUUUCACACACAUUUUUCAAAAUGUAGAAUUUCAAUAGCUCCUUGGUCAUGUGACCUAAUGUCCGCUGACUACCCUUCUAUAUUGCACACUCUUGUUUGUGUACUGUAAAAUCACACGGUGUACAUUUUUCAUAGUUUCACAUUUGCAAUAGCUCCUUGGUCAUGUCAAUUACGCUCCUAAGAAGCAUGCAGUGGAAAUACACCCAUAUUGCAUAACCUCUAGUCAUGUAUCUUCUAUAUUGUUGUACAUUAAUAUUAGAGUGACAAUUACAGGGUUCAGUCCAGUGUUGUGUUUACCCUUUUCUUUAAUAUUUAUCUAUAAUAAUUGGUAGUUCUAAGUACUUAUUUUCCCUGUUUUUUAUUUUUCCACAGUAUUUAACAGUGGUACACAAUAGGAGAGAGACAAAUAAUAUCUCCUUUCGUUGUUAAUAUCAACCAUAAAGGAAAAAGUAUGAGAGUCAUGCUAUUAAUUGUCCAAAGCAGGGAUGGAGAGUGAACUGGUGAGGUAGGCUGCAGUGGGUUUGCUGGUCAAUACAUAUACUGAACAUGUAACCACAGUAAUGGUGGCCAGUAAAUCAAUGAAUAAAAAUGUAAUAUUGACAAAUUAAACUGAAAUUGUAGACCUUUAAUCUUUUAAAACAUGUCAGACACUUAACUUCAAAUAAGUGUAUAACAUUUCCGUGUUAACUUUCUCUUUAUCCCUGGUUGAUGUACAUGUCAGAGCCUCUUCAGUGUGGAUGGGGUAUAGCAUACAAUUUCAACAACAAAGACUGCACUUCUAGUUUGUGUUCUUUACUCUUUUGAACUCUUUUGUCUUCAUUCCUAGGCACAGCACAUGGAACCACCGUUGGCAUGCAAAACAUUCAAUCUAAAACAAACCAAACAUAACACGUUAUAAAUAAUAUCAAGUAUCAAUGCUGUAUGACGAAUUAGCCAUCUAUUAUGUUAUGUCAUAAAUUGUCUUACAUGCCGUCACUGUUGUCAAAAGAUUAUAAACAUGUUAAAUAAAGUUACUAACCCAGUCA
Long non-coding RNA from Oncorhynchus tshawytscha (Chinook salmon), 2380 nucleotides. RefSeq lists it as uncharacterized. The record is from RefSeq and is a predicted model, not a curated record. NCBI's taxonomy places the organism in Eukaryota, Metazoa, Chordata, Actinopteri, Salmoniformes, Salmonidae. The transcript is spliced from 2 exons.